CGAACUCAAUUGAUGAACGCGUUCAACCACUUUCUUCUCUGAAGAUCUCCGAUUCCCAGCCUUCGCCUUCGAUCCCUCCUCCCCAAUCUCCGGCCAAGGGUCUCCAAUCCCCAUGGCUUCUUGGCUUAAGGUCGCUGAAGACUUGCUGGAAGUUGUGGAUAGAAGAGCAAAACUUGUUGUGAGUGAGUUGUCAGAUGAGCAGUCUGGCACACAACCAUCAGGAUCUACUGGUCAUGAGGCUCCAGCCAGAGGAGUACGAGCGAAGGAGAAGGGUCACUCAAGAGUUUCUAGUAAUGGCAUUCCAAAAAAUAUCAAACCUGGAAAGGAGGAAAGUGUACAACUAUUGGUUCCAUCUGUAAACCGUGAAAAAUCUGAGAUUCCUCCAUCUGAAAAUGCUGUGGUUGCUAAUGCUGAUAUUAUUGCUGAAGUGAGCACAGAUCCACUAUCUGAAACUAGUAAGGAGAAUAUAGAAGCUUCUGAUGUUCCUUUGGAAGAAGCUCAAAAUGAGAAAGGUGAUGAUGAAGCUGCCAAUUUGACAGAGGUUCCAGUUACAGACAAUGGCAAUGAGAUCACAACUUCCUCUACUAUUGAUGAUGCCUCUGAUUUAAACUCAAAUGAUAGGUUGGAAAAGCCAUUUGUAGGCAAUGGAGAUGACAAUAUUGUUGGCGAUCUUUCCCAAGAUACUGAACUUAAAGUUGAUUCUGCUGAUAAGGAUGCAUCUAUGCUGGUUGACCAAGGUGAACUGGAAUCUGCAACAGUGAAAAGCGAGAUCACUGGCAGCACCAAAAAAAUUGAUAGAGAUCCAUUGCCAGACCCUUCACAGAAGAUGAAGCCUUUUGAGAAUAAGAUUAAUGCUUCCACCAUGAAAAUUCAAGAACAACUUGAUGAGGCUCAGGGACUACUGCAGAGUACAAAGUCUACUGGUCAGUCGAAAGAAGCUAGAUUAGCCAGAGUUUGUGCUGGGCUCUCAUCUCGCCUUCAAGAGUACAAAGCAGAGAAUGCACAGUUGGAGGAACUUCUUGUUGCAGAGAGAGAACUUUGUAAUUCGUAUGAAGUUCGCAUAAAGCAGCUUCAACAAGAACUAUCCGCAUUUAAGUCAGAAGCAGCUCGAGCAGAAUCAAGUAUGUCUGAGGCUUUGGCUGUGAAAAACUCUGAAAUUGAUGCUCUUGUGAACUCACUUGAAGUUCUGAAGAAACAAGCUUCUGCAUCUGAAGGAAAGGCCACAUCUUUACAGGUUAAUAUGGAGGAGAUUAUGAGGAGCCGAGAGCUAACUGAAACUCGGAUGAUGCAGGCUUUACGAGAAGAGCUUUCUUCUGCAGAGCGUCGAGCUGAAGAAGAGCGAGCUGCACAUAAUGCCACGAAAAUGGCAGCAGUGGAAAGAGAAGUUGAACUGGAACAUCGAGCCCUUGAAGCGUCCAAUGCUCUUGCACGAAUCCAGAGAGCAGCAGAUGACAGCCAAUCUAGGGCAAUGGAUCUUGAACAUAAACUUGCUUUGCUUGAGGUUGAAAACUCAUCUCUGACCCAGAAACUGGAGGAAUUGGAAGUUCGUUCUCGUCGUGGGCAGAAGAAGACAUCUGAAGAAGCUAGUCAGAUCCUUCAGAUGCAGGCAUGGCAGGAAGAGGUGGAGCGUGCACGUCAAGGCCAAAGGGAUGCGGAGAGCAAGAUCUCUUCUAUGGAGGUUGAGCUACAAAAGAUGAGGGUGGAAAUGGCUGGAAUGAAAAGGGAUGCCGAACAUUAUUCACGUCAGGAACACAUUGAGUUAGAGAAACGAUACAGAGAGCUGACUGAUUUAUUGUAUCACAAGCAAACACAGCUAGAAGCCAUGGCCAGUGAAAAGGCUGCUGCAGAGUUCCAACUAGAGAAAGAGGCAAAACGGCUUCAAGAUGCACAGGCUGAAGCAGAAAGAAGUAGAGCUUACCGUCGAUCAUCUUCUGUAUGGGAGGAAGACACUGAUUUAAAAGCUCUUGAUACUGAUUAUUGUCCGACAGGCCUCUCCCCUUGCAUAAUAGACAUAUGGCUGCAGCCAAUGUUCAGUUGCAAAAAGCUGCUAAGCUUUUGGACUCAGGAGCUGUUAGGGCAACUAGAUUUCUGUGGCGGUAUCCAAUUGCUCGACUGAUUGUACUCUUUUAUCUGGUCUUUGUGCAUUUCUUCUUGAUGUAUUUGUUGCAUCGUCUUCAGGAACAAGCAGACGAUUUUGCCUCGAGAGAGCUUGCAGCUUCAAUGGGUCUUAAGAAUUCAAGCUUGUUGUAAAUUGUCGUCAAACGGCCAAAUACCGGCAAAUACUUGGUCCCCAGUCCAGCAUCAGAUGGCAUUUCCUCAUAGUAUAACUGUAUAAGUACCACAGUGAUGUUCUAACUUUUG
RNA transcript from Dioscorea cayenensis subsp. rotundata (Guinea yam), 2361 nucleotides. It is a transcript of the gene named golgin-84, with no coding region annotated. The record is from RefSeq and is a predicted model, not a curated record. The transcript is spliced from 21 exons. NCBI's taxonomy places the organism in Eukaryota, Viridiplantae, Streptophyta, Magnoliopsida, Dioscoreales, Dioscoreaceae.